AUUGAACGCUGGCGGAAUGCUUUACACAUGCAAGUCGAGCGGCAGCACGGGGGCAACCCUGGUGGCGAGCGGCGAACGGGUGAGUAAUACAUCGGAACAUGCCCAGUCGUGGGGGAUAACACUUCGAAAGAAGUGCUAAUACCGCAUACGUCCUGAGGGGGAAAGCGGGGGAUCGCAAGACCUCGCGCGAUUGGAGUGGCCGAUGUCAGAUUAGCUAGUUGGUGGGGUAAAGGCCUACCAAGGCAACGAUCUGUAGCUGGUCUGAGAGGAUGAUCAGCCACACUGGGACUGAGACACGGCCCAGACUCCUACGGGAGGCAGCAGUGGGGAAUUUUGGACAAUGGGGGCAACCCUGAUCCAGCCAUUCCGCGUGAGAGAAGAAGGCCUUCGGGUUGUAAAGCUCUUUCGGCAGGAACGAAACGGUGAGCUCUAACAUAGCUUGCUAAUGACGGUACCUGAAGAAGAAGCACCGGCUAGCUACGUG
Molecule: ribosomal RNA, 484 nt
Filed under: uncultured bacterium
Lineage: Bacteria
Description: partial 16S ribosomal RNA
Rfam family: Bacterial small subunit ribosomal RNA
Source: RNAcentral